UACGUAGGGGGCAAGCGUUGUCCGGAUUCAUUGGGCGUAAAGAGCGUGUAGGCGGCCAGGUAGGUCCGCUGUGAAAACUCGAGGCUCAACCUCGAGAUGUCGGCGGAAACCAUCUGGCUAGAGUCCGGAAGAGGAGAGUGGAAUUCCCGGUGUAGCGGUGAAAUGCGCAGAUAUCGGGAAGAACACCCGUGGCGAAGGCGGCUCUCUGGGACGGUACUGACGCUGAGACGCGAAAGCGUGGGGAGCGAACAGG
Molecule: ribosomal RNA, 253 nt
Filed under: uncultured bacterium
Lineage: Bacteria
Description: partial 16S ribosomal RNA
Rfam family: Bacterial small subunit ribosomal RNA
Source: RNAcentral